This 372-nucleotide ribosomal RNA is filed under the name uncultured organism. RNAcentral's name for it is "bacterial SSU rRNA". It matches the Rfam family "Bacterial small subunit ribosomal RNA", at positions 526 to 896 of the family's 1533-position model. The record is from RNAcentral.
CGGAGGGUGCGAGCGUUGUUCGGAAUUAUUGGGCGUAAAGCGCGUGUAGGCGGCUCCUUAAGUCUGAUGUGAAAGCCCCGGGCUCAACCUGGGAAGUGCAUUGGAAACUGGGGAACUUGAAUACGGGAGAGGGUAGUGGAAUUCCUGGUGUAGGAGUGAAAUCCGUAGAUAUCAGGAGGAACACCGGUGGCGAAGGCGGCUACCUGGACCGAUAUUGACGCUGAGACGCGAAAGCGUGGGGAGCAAACAGGAUUAGAUACCCUGGUAGUCCACGCCGUAAACGAUGAGUACUAGGUGUUGCGGGUAUUGACCCCUGCAGUGCCGCAGCUAACGCAUUAAGUACUCCGCCUGGGAAGUACGGUCGCAAGACUA